ACGCCUGUCUGGGAAUGACUGGUUCUUAAAAUUUCCAUCGUCGGGUCGCCGAUGCAAUUUGGGGGGGCAAAUGUGAUAGUAUCGGGUUUAUGGGUCACAAACCCGCCUAUAAAAGGGGCACUAUGCGCUACGCUCGCCCCUCCCUCCUGAACGCCGACCGCUGACGUUGCACGCUGGCGGAGCCAAGCUGUCAUGGCCGCAAGACGCGAGGCCCCGAGUGGACCACGUUUAGGCGCACUAAGUUUACUGUUGCAAGGUGUUCAGCGCAGUAAUUGCGGAGAGUGUGCGGGCAUCGUGGGGCUUUUGUGUCUCGGCGCUGGGCGGUCCUCUGCGUGUUUGGGUGGCGUGCCGCGGUGAAUUCUACACGGCUCCUGCUGGCGGGAAGCCUCCCC
Molecule: long non-coding RNA, 392 nt
Organism: Boleophthalmus pectinirostris (great blue-spotted mudskipper)
Lineage: Eukaryota; Metazoa; Chordata; Actinopteri; Gobiiformes; Gobiidae
Exons: 3
Source: RefSeq, a predicted model, not a curated record